UACGGAGGGUGCGAGCGUUGUCCGGAAUCACUGGGCGUAAAGGGUGCGUAGGCGGCUAGGUAAGUCACGUGUGAAAGGCCGGGGCUCAACCCCGGAUCGGCAUGUGAGACUGUCUGGCUCGAGCAUGGUAGAGGCGGGCGGAAUUCCUGGUGUAGCGGUGGAAUGCGUAGAGAUCAGGAAGAACACCGGUGGCGAAGGCGGCUCGCUGGGCCAUUGCUGACGCUGAGGCACGAAAGCGUGGGGAGCAAACAGG
This 253-nucleotide ribosomal RNA is filed under the name uncultured bacterium. RNAcentral's name for it is "partial 16S ribosomal RNA". It matches the Rfam family "Bacterial small subunit ribosomal RNA", at positions 524 to 776 of the family's 1533-position model. The record is from RNAcentral.